AAUUCUUUAUUAUAAAAAGUAAAUUUAAUUUCCAAUUAAAAGGGUUAAGAAUUA
Molecule: transfer RNA, 54 nt
Filed under: Bursaphelenchus mucronatus
Lineage: Eukaryota; Metazoa; Nematoda; Chromadorea; Rhabditida; Aphelenchoididae
Description: tRNA-Gly
Source: RNAcentral